CCUACGGGAGGCAGCAGUGGGGAAUCUUGCGCAAUGGGCGAAAGCCUGACGCAGCCAUGCCGCGUGAAUGAUGAAGGUCUUAGGAUUGUAAAAUUCUUUCACCGGGGACGAUAAUAACGGUACCCGGAGAAGAAGCCCCGGCUAACUUCGUGCCAGCAGCCGCGGUAAUACGAAGGGGGCUAGCGUUGCUCGGAAUUACUGGGCGUAAAGGGAGCGUAGGCGGACAUUUAAGUCAGGGGUGAAAUCCCAGAGCUCAACUCUGGAACUGCCUUUGAUACUGGGUGUCUUGAGUGUGAUAGAGGUAUGUGGAACUCCGAGUGUAGAGGUGAAAUUCGUAGAUAUUCGGAAGAACACCAGUGGCGAAGGCGACAUACUGGAUCAUUACUGACGCUGAGGCUCGAAAGCGUGGGGAGCAAACAGGAUUAGAUACCCUGGUAGUCCACGCCGUAAACGAUGAUUGCUAGUUGUCGGGGUGUUUACAUCUCGGUGACGCAGCUAACGCAUUAAGCAAUCCGCCUGGGGAGUACGGUCGCAAGNUUAAAACUCAAAGGAAUUGACGG
This 560-nucleotide ribosomal RNA is filed under the name uncultured bacterium. Its description in RNAcentral is "bacterial SSU rRNA". It matches the Rfam family "Bacterial small subunit ribosomal RNA", at positions 338 to 916 of the family's 1533-position model. The record is from RNAcentral.